AUGACGUCAAGUCCUCAUGGCCUUUAUGACCAGGGCUACACACGUACUACAAUGGCCGAUACAAAGGGCAGCGACACUGCGAGGUGAAGCCAAUCCCGUAAAAUCGGUCUCAGUCCGGAUUGGAGUCUGCAACUCGACUCCAUGAAGUUGGAAUCGCUAGUAAUCGUGGAUCAGCAUGCCACGGUGAAUACGUUCCCGGCCUU
This 203-nucleotide ribosomal RNA is filed under the name uncultured Desulfobulbus sp. RNAcentral's name for it is "partial 16S ribosomal RNA". It matches the Rfam family "Bacterial small subunit ribosomal RNA", at positions 1179 to 1381 of the family's 1533-position model. The record is from RNAcentral. Lineage: Bacteria; Pseudomonadati; Thermodesulfobacteriota; Desulfobulbia; Desulfobulbales; Desulfobulbaceae.